GUACAAAAGCAAAAGCUGAUUGAGCGAGAGAAAGAGUUGGAGAAUCUGGAGGCUUACAAUGAAAGACAAAAGCUUGAGCUAGAGAAGCAAAUGAAUGCAAAAGCCACCUUGGAGCAAAAGAAAGCUGAUGAAAAUCUUUUGAAGUUGGCUGAAGAGCAGAAGAGAGAAAAAGAAAAACUGCACUUGCAAAUUAUUGA
Non-coding RNA from Coffea arabica (coffee), 197 nucleotides. The record is from RefSeq and is a predicted model, not a curated record. Lineage: Eukaryota; Viridiplantae; Streptophyta; Magnoliopsida; Gentianales; Rubiaceae.